GGUUUCGACCUUUCAAUAGAGAGCUGAUUUUGGAGAACGGCUUACUCCUGUGAUUGAAAAACUCUCUGGAAGGUUGAUGGAGCAUAAGCAUGAUUAAUAUAACUUAUGUUGCUGACCCACUUUCCAUUAUGUAAAAACCUGAACAGAAUUUGUCACUGAGGUCUGAUCAGCAACUCCAGUGCAAUUUGAAAAUAUGUAAUCUGCUGGCGAUGAUGCGCCCAACCUUAAUCGGUGCUGGAGCCUCUGGAAGAGAGAUUGUGUCAUCACACAGUCCAACAGUGACCUUGAUGAAUCUGUGAAAGAAGAAAAUAGUUUUCUCACUUCUUCAUUUGUAAAAUGCACAAAAGGGGGAAAAAAAAUAACCAAAUGUGGAGUUUAACCCAUUGAAGUUGUUAGAUUCUCUGGGGU
This is a long non-coding RNA of Calidris pugnax (ruff), 408 nucleotides long. RefSeq lists it as uncharacterized. NCBI's taxonomy places the organism in Eukaryota, Metazoa, Chordata, Aves, Charadriiformes, Scolopacidae. The record is from RefSeq and is a predicted model, not a curated record. The transcript has 3 exons.